Molecule: unclassified non-coding RNA, 126 nt
Filed under: uncultured Ascomycota
Lineage: Eukaryota; Fungi; Ascomycota
Description: sequence contains ITS1
Source: RNAcentral
UCGAACCUGGCCCCCCCGGGCCAUGUCUACCUUGGAAACCCGUGGAAGCGAACCGUGCCUCGGUGCCUCGGCGUCGAAUUUAUGCUACAGUCUGUCAUUUGCGUCUGAAUCAAACAGAAGAACAUA